RNAcentral lists this long non-coding RNA (1152 nucleotides) under Polistes fuscatus (common paper wasp). RNAcentral describes it as "uncharacterized LOC122518335". Lineage: Eukaryota; Metazoa; Arthropoda; Insecta; Hymenoptera; Vespidae. The record is from RNAcentral.
UGUAAAUAAUCAUGAUACAAUUCUUCGCUCAAUAUCAACAAACUUCUACGUUCUAAUAACAGACUAAACUGCAGUUUUAAUUGUUGCGGCUAAAAAAAACAACUAUGUAAAUCUAGAAGAGUAUGAGUUCCGCAACUAAUAGUAGUUACCAUUGGAUAAAAAAGUGGACCAUCUGAAUGUGCCUAUUAAAAAUCCAAAUUUCUAAAAGAUCAUUUAUAAAUAUUCGUCGAAGAAAGAGAAUAAUAUCUAAUUGAUUAUAUAUACACUCGCAAGUGUUUACUAUAAUUGUUACAUACCAUUAUUCCUUGACCAGGCAAAUACUCAUUAAUUAAUACAUGAUUAGGUGCCUUAUCUUUUUCAAAAACAUUUAAAGAAGUUAUUUUAUCCAUGUAAAUUCGAAGCCACUAGAAGUUUAUAAUUUAUUAGAGUAAUUUUAAUUUUCUAUAGCAUUACUUACACUUGGUAUUUCUUCGGCUAUCAUUCCUUUGGGAUGAGGUAUACCACCCCAAUUUUGUAAUCUUCUAUUACUCAAUUGAGUCCAUUUUGGAAGAGGAACAGUAUCAACAUGUUUCAAUAUUUGUCUUUCUUCCUCUUCAGUUAUAAAAUUUGGUAUAUAUCGUGCCAUAUCUGGAAUCUACAUUUUACAAACUGUCAACAUAACCUUGCUUUCCCGUCUAUAAGAAAUAAUAAUUAAAACAGACCUCUUUAACCACAUUUUCGACGAGAACACGUUCUUGCGUAUACAUUUUUAAAAAAAUAAUAAAGAAGAAAUUUAUUUAAAAUAAUAACGAUUAAGUUUAAAAUAAACAAAUCGAUAUUUGCUUCGUAGAUUAUACUUAUAUCGAAAUAUAUCUCGAACAAAUAACUAUCGACUCUAAGUUAAUCGAACUUAGUUAUAAAUUCUGUCGUCAGAGUGUGCGCGCGCUUAUAAACGAGGUCAUUUUUAAUUAGUAAGUUUCACCUCUAGAAUAUUUAAGUUGGAAGAGGGAAGAAAGUGUCGACGUUGAAACAACAAUCGUUAGUUCGACCGUCUAUAUUAUGUGAAAGGUUUUUCAAUUUUUCUUCUCUACAACAUUCUUUGUAAUUUACGUGUAUUUAGCACUAUGUAAAAUGAUAUAACAAUUAAAUUAUGAAAUAAUUCGUAUAACUUUU